ACGGAAGGCAGCAGUGGGGGAUAUUGCACAAUGGAGGAAACUCUGAUGCAGCAACGCCGCGUGAGGGAAGAAGGUUUUCGGAUUGUAAACCUCUGUUUUUAGUGAAGAAACAAAUGACGGUAGCUAAAGAGGAAGCCACGGCUAACUACGUGCCAGCAGCCGCGGUAAUACGUAGGUGGCAAGCGUUGUCCGGAUUUACUGGGUGUAAAGGGUGUGUAGGCGGGACUGCAAGUUGGAUGUGAAAUACCGAGGCUUAACCGCGGAGCUGCAUUUAAAACUGUGGUUCUUGAGUGGAGUAGAGGUAAGCGGAAUUCCGAGUGUAGCGGUGAAAUGCGUAGAUAUUAGGAGGAACAUCAGUGGCGAAGGCGGCUUACUGGGCUCUAACUGACGCUGAGGCACGAAAGUGUGGGUAGCAAACAGGAUUAGAUACCCUGGUA
This is a ribosomal RNA of 437 nucleotides. It matches the Rfam family "Bacterial small subunit ribosomal RNA", at positions 341 to 792 of the family's 1533-position model.